UGAGGGUGGAAGGCAGACAGCUGGGGCGGGGACAGAUCCUGCCAGCCCCAGGCACCAAGGGAGCGUCUUCACCCCGGCUGAGAAAUUCAGAAUCCUCUCAAUGAGAGGCUCCACAUUUUCCUUUGAGAAAACAAAUUUUGCAAAGAUUCUUCAGAAUCCUGCGUCUCCCAAAGACUGGAGCUUUGUCUUGCCCAACUGGGUAUGUUCCAAGCCACUCUGUGUACAGACAUGGACGAAUAUGAUAGCAUUUUAUUGGGAGAAAAGACUCUUGUUCAGCUGACCUGCAGGAACAUCUAAUAGGAGGUAAAGGAAGGUGGCUGGCCCACUCUUCCAGAUUUAUAUUCUACUUGUAAUUAAAAAAAAAAAAAUUCAAGCACCAUUCCAGUUAGUCUCACCCCUUCUUUACGAGGUACCAGUAGAAGAUAUCAUGACUUAUUUUGGAGAUAAGGAACCUAAAGUUCAGAGUGGUUACAUGAAUGCCAGAAGAGGCAUCCAACCAGGUCAUAGCAAAGACUGGCCUUAAAAGGUCUUUUGACUUUAUCCUCCCAGAGGUCACAGCUCCAAAAACCUAGAGACCAGGCAAAUGUAAGAGAGCAACAUGGGCCAAAGUAGUGGUGCAAUAGGGAGUGUUGGGGACUAUGGCCAACUGGGGAGCUUGUCCCUAUCUAGAAAGGGAGCUGCUCUUUAGUCCCACAUGAUUGUGGGUAUGUGGGGAAUAUGGGCCCCAUUCUGUUAGAUUCUACAACUUGACCUCAAUUCAUGUUUUACAAGAAAUUAUUCGGCAAUUACUUAGGGAAAAACAAAAACAAAAACAAAAAACUAUGUGCUACCAAACAAGACAAGUUUUUAGAUGGCCUUCUGCCCCCAGGGUGUGAUUACUUGUCCACCCCAUGCCUUGAUAGAGGCUGCAUGGUGGGUGCGUGUGGCCAGGGCCGUGGGAGCAAGUGCUCCCUGCUCCGUUCUUAGCUGCCUGUCCCAUGGGUUCCACAUGUUAGUUCUGCAGAGGCUGGGUUGUGGGGGCAGGGAGUGCUCCCAGCUACAGCGCCUAAUCAGGGAAAGUGAAAAAUGGUGGCCUUUAACCCCAUUAGCCUGGAAGGCAGACAUACAGAGAGGUAUGUGUUCCCAAAGCUACCUCCCUUCUCCAUCCCCACUCCCACCAGCAUCCAGCAUAGGACAGUGUUCACUUCUGUACAGUCAUUUUUGGAGCUGACAGCAAAGUUUCUAUUUUCUUUUGUGAGGGAUGCAGUUGGUAUUUAAUCUCUGCCUUUCUCAGCAGGUCUGCUUUUUGUCACAACACUCCUGCAAAGAUGGGAUGACAGUGAGACCACAUGACCUUAUCUGCAGCUGCCGUCUUGAGGCGCUUUAUGAUUUCUCUUGAGAACAGUCCAGCAUUGUGAGUAGGACCUCUCUUUAUGGUUUCUCUUGAGAAUAGUCCAGCGUUGUGAGUAGGACCUCUCUGUUCCCUGAAUGUCACUCUCUGUGACCCUAUCCAGCUCCUUCCUUGUGAGCCGUGAGAGCCACCGGCUUAUCAGUUCUCGCCACUGGGAAAUGUGCAUUUUCCUCUUGGUGGAGGUGUACUUCACAAGGCCCCCCGGUGUGUUCUCGGCUUCCUCAGACAGCUGGCUGUAUUUGGAAGACCCAGGGUUUCUUCCACGAGGAUUGAUGUGAUCCCUGCAGGUCAAACACAUUGGUGGCAGGCCAGAAAGCACACUGUCCUUCAUUCUCCAAACCUGGGUCCACGCCAAGGAGGAGGACACAGGGCAGGUGAGGCAGGGACCCUCUUGUGGAGUCUUUUUCAACUCUGCUUUGGAGCCUCUCCUAUUUUCAAAAACAAAAGAAAAUGCAAUGGAGAAAGGGAGCAGCCGCUGAACAAUAGCAGGAAAGAGGGUUCAGGAGGAAUGUGGACUUGUCCCAUUUCUGCCUUUUUCAUGGUGAAAAUAUGCCAUGAGGAGAAGAGGACUCACUUUCAAAAUCUCUCUCUCUCUCUCUCUCUCUCUCUCUCUUUCUGUUUAAUUCUACUUAGUCAGCGUCAGUGUACAAGAGGUUAUCAGACUUGUUCUGGAACAGUGCUUGGGAAGUUAUGAGUUGCUGGCAGGAUUUGCAGCCCACAUACUCAGGUAUGCAAGAAAUAAAAUUAUCUCUAGCCCUUCAAAUCAUGCCAUUCUGACUCAGAACCCCUGCCCCCAACAAAAUACAUGUGAAACACCAUCCUGGCAUUACUGGGGUGGGGGUCUCCCCUCACAGCUUCUUGGAGAGCUUGUAGGGGGAAGGGGCAGCUGGGGCAGGGGUGGCUAACCUCUGUCAUUCCUAAGCUCAGCGUUUGGAUCUCCAAACUCCUCACACACAGCUCUCUGAUCCCACACUUUCCUGGGUAACCCCUGCUGGGCUUUGCCAGCCUUUCAACUGAGGCCAGCACUUCCCUUCGCCCUCCUGGCCAGCCUGGGACAGAGUCUCCACUGCUCUUCUCUCAUCUCCCCAGCACUGAAUGCAACAUCUGACCUGCUUAGGCCUUGGGCAAGCAAAAUUAGUUUUGCCAAAUGUCAAAGCAGCAUGUAAUACUGGGACUUCAGUCAAGGCCUUAUGUUACCAUGGAUGAACAGAAGAAAAGAAAAGAAAGGAUAGAUGGGAGGAAGACAGCUCUGUCAACGGCAACCACGCUUGCAUAUGGUCAUGUCCUGCUGCCCAAGGACCCCCAGUCUCCAAAUCCCAAGGGAACGACUCUGCUUGGGUCAACUGUCCUCCUUGACACUCCCAUUGGUAACUGCUCUCCGCCCUUUGGCACAACAGUAAAGCAGGUACUUGGAACAUUGCAGGAUCAGCAACGGAAGUAAGAUGCAAGUCUCCUGUUGAAGUCCCAUCUCCCAAAAAAUGUAUAUAAAGAAAAGAAGAAAGCUAGAAGACAGGCAGCCAUGAAGGUAUUUACCAUUUUUGCAUGUGACCCAAAGGUGAUGACAACUCUGUCCUCCUCAGAGGGACACAGGUAUGGUCUAGGCUGUGGAUGGUAGCAGGCUGGUGCCAUGGUCAUGAUGGGGUUUGGGAGAGACACUGGCCCAGACUGACCAAGAAGUCAUAGAGAGAUGAUUUCUGGAGGUCCAGGAAAAGUUGUCCUCAUUCUUAAGGAGUCACAUGAAGGCAUGGUCCCUUUGUGUUUCUGGACACUGGAUGUUAAAGGUCUGGGUUUAAUAUCCAGAAUUCUGGGAGCCAACUUGCAACAACAAGGGAAACCAACUGGGGACAAUUCCAGCCCACAGAACAUGGCAGAGCAGAGGCAGGAAAGAACAUGUGUCCUUGACACCAUUGCUAGCUGUUGAGUCAACCAGCCUGGAUCCCUGUUAGACCUCAGCUCACUCUUAUUUGAUGUAAGAAACUCUUACGUUGUCUGUGCCUGUAAGACAAGUCUUCUCUUGCCUAUAGUGUAGCCAUCCUAGUUGAUACAAAUGAAAUUUGAAAAGCAGAGAUUUCAUGGAAAAGUCUGUUCCUGUCCAUUUUCAUUGGACACCUUUAAAUUCAUUCUGUAUUAAAUCAUUUUUUAAUACGAUUGUCUGUUUUG
Long non-coding RNA from Mustela erminea (ermine), 3550 nucleotides. RefSeq lists it as uncharacterized. The record is from RefSeq and is a predicted model, not a curated record. The transcript is spliced from 6 exons. NCBI's taxonomy places the organism in Eukaryota, Metazoa, Chordata, Mammalia, Carnivora, Mustelidae.